This is a non-coding RNA of Parasteatoda tepidariorum (common house spider), 340 nucleotides long. Lineage: Eukaryota; Metazoa; Arthropoda; Arachnida; Araneae; Theridiidae. The record is from RefSeq and is a predicted model, not a curated record.
AAGAGAAAAAUUUAAAUUUCAAUAACCAAAAUAACGAAAAUGGAAAUUUCAUAUUAUUUAAGGAGAAUAUUAAAGUAAACCUCUUGUUCUGUUAUGUCGAUUAGGCAACUGAAAUAGGUCAUCUUAGCAAACUACGAUCCUCAUGGUAACUAGGUCAGUCAUGGAGAUCUUGGCAGACAACAGGCCUCCUGGUAACUAGGUCAGUCAUGGAGAUCUUGGCAGACAUCAGGCCUCAUGGUAACUAGGUCAGUCAUGGAGAUCUUGGCAGACAACAGGCCUCAUGGUAACUAGGUCAGUCAUGGAGAUCUUGGCAGGCAACAGGCCUCAUGGUAACUAGGUC